RNAcentral lists this ribosomal RNA (442 nucleotides) under uncultured bacterium. Its description in RNAcentral is "partial 16S ribosomal RNA". It matches the Rfam family "Bacterial small subunit ribosomal RNA", at positions 338 to 795 of the family's 1533-position model. The record is from RNAcentral.
CCUACGGGUGGCAGCAGUGGGGGAUAUUGGACAAUGGGGGGAACCCUGAUCCAGCGACGCCGCGUGAGUGAAGAAGUAUCUCGGUAUGUAAAGCUCUAUCAGCAGGGAAGAAGAAAUGACGGUACCUGAGUAAGAAGCCACGGCUAACUACGUGCCAGCAGCCGCGGUAAUACGUAGGGGGCAAGCGUUAUCCGGAAUUACUGGGUGUAAAGGGAGCGUAGACGGGGUUGUAAGUCUGGAGUGAAAGGCGGGGGCUCAACCCCCGGACUGCUCUUGAAACUAUGUGACUGGAGUGCAGGAGAGGUGAGCGGAAUUCCUAGUGUAGCGGUGAAAUGCGUAGAUAUUAGGAGGAACCCCGAUUGCGAAGGCAGCAUGCCGGCUUCCUACUGACGCUGAAGCACGAAAGCGUGGGGAUCGAACAGGAUUAGAUACCCUUGUAGUC